Molecule: ribosomal RNA, 283 nt
Filed under: Scutellospora spinosissima
Lineage: Eukaryota; Fungi; Glomeromycota; Glomeromycetes; Diversisporales; Gigasporaceae
Source: RNAcentral
CAGUCAUGCCGGUGAGAAUCAACUUUGGGGAAAAGGGGAUUUUUUGAACCUAACUUUGAAGUGCACUUCUUCGCUUGGCAGGUUAGCGUCGAUUUUGAACGUCAUAAAAUGAUGGGGGAAGGUAGCUCUUUCGGGAGUGUUAUAGCCCUUAAUUAAUGUGAUAUUUGGGAUCGAGGAUUGCAACGGAUACCUUUUAGGCUAGCCGCCUGGCCUCUGAUUCGAUGUUGGGUUAUAGACAGCACGCUGACUAUGAUCUGAUUAUUGGUCAAAAGGUUGAGCGAGC